CCUACGGGAGGCAGCAGUGGGGAAUAUUGCACAAUGGGGGAAACCCUGAUGCAGCGACGCCGCGUGAGUGAAGAAGUAUUUCGGUAUGUAAAGCUCUAGCAGCAGGGAAGAAAAUGACGGUACCUGAAUAAGAAGCCCCGUCUAACUACGUGCCAGAAGCCGCGGUAAUACGCAGGGGGCAAGCGUUAUCCGGAUUUACUGUGGGUAAAGGGAGCGUAGACGGCAGCACAAGGCUGGAGUGAAAUGCCGGGGCUUAACCCCGGAACUGCUUUGGAAACUGUGCAGAUAGAGGGCAGGAGCGGUAAGUGGAAUUCCUAGUGUAGCGGUGAAAUGCGUAGAUAUUAGGAGGAACACCAGUGGCGAAGGCGGCUUACUGGACUGUAACUGACGUUGAGGCUCGAAAGCGUGGGGAGCAAACAGGAUUAGAUACCCGAGUAGUC
Molecule: ribosomal RNA, 440 nt
Filed under: uncultured bacterium
Lineage: Bacteria
Description: partial 16S ribosomal RNA
Rfam family: Bacterial small subunit ribosomal RNA
Source: RNAcentral